RNAcentral lists this unclassified non-coding RNA (211 nucleotides) under plant metagenome. Its description in RNAcentral is "partial contains small subunit ribosomal RNA and internal transcribed spacer 1". The stretch from base 1 to 46 matches the Rfam family "Eukaryotic small subunit ribosomal RNA", at positions 1786 to 1831 of the family's 1831-position model. The record is from RNAcentral.
AAGUCGUAACAAGGUUUCCGUAGGUGAACCUGCGGAAGGAUCAUUAAAGAAUUCGGCUUCGCGGCCAAGUUCUCACCCUUUGUAUACCGAAACUAUGUUGCUUUGGCAGGCCCCUGCAUUUCUCGGGCCUGCCAGAGGUUAUAAACCCUAGAAUCUCUGCUGUCUGUAAGUCAUCAUUGACUGAAUCAAAUAGGUUUUAAAAAAACCUUUU